Molecule: long non-coding RNA, 2898 nt
Filed under: Homo sapiens (human)
Lineage: Eukaryota; Metazoa; Chordata; Mammalia; Primates; Hominidae
Description: non-protein coding lnc-P2RX5-5:1
Rfam family: Metazoan signal recognition particle RNA (bases 1028-1175)
Source: RNAcentral
AUUUAAAGGCAGUUCUUUAUCAGUCACACCUCUUUCCACAGUGACUACAGAGUCUCAAGUAUAAAAACCAGAGUUCUAGAAACAGAGUGAAGACAAGUUAACCAUGGGAAAAGAUUAGGAGUAAAUUCCCGAAGUCCUGUUCAGAAGGACUCUCAAUCACUCAGCUCUUAAAGCAACCUGUCAGUUUUCCUCCCUUUGAGGAAAAAUAAGCAAAAAUUGGCCAGGUGCGGUGGCUCACACCUGUAAUCCCAGCACUUUGGGAGGCCGAGGCGGGUGGAUCACAAGGUCAGCAGAUCGAGACCAUCCUGGCUAACACGGUGAAACCCCGUCUCUACUAAAAAUACAAAAAAUUCUCCGGGCGUGGUGGCGGGCGCCUGUAGUCCCAGCUACUUGGGAGGCUGAGGCAGGAGAAUGGUGUGAGCCCGGGAGGCGGAGCUUGCAGUGAGCCGAGAUCCUGCCACUGCACUCCAGCCUGGGAGACAGAGUGAGACUCCAUCUCAAAAAAAAAAAAAAGCAAAAAUUAAAACCUUGUCAGUAGACAGAGACAUUUUCCCUUUGAAAAUUGAUAAAUUCUGCUUCUCUGUGUGAGCGAUGUAACAUGUGACAUUUCUUACACUGCCCCCUAUAAGUUGCUUACUAGCUUCCCUUCUUCUCCCCUGAGACUCUUUUUUGGUCUCUGCUUUGCCUCAGCCUCUUUGCUUUCAGUUGUCUCAUCUGUAGUCUGGUUCCCAAAGCUAGCCUUGAUACCUGAAGCAACAGGCUCUGCUCAGUAUGAAGCUGAAGCCUGGGCAUUUUUUUUUUGCUCAGACUACAUAAGUGUUAAGGCUCAAAAAACGGAAAGGAAUUUACAGAAAGGACUCUGCUGACAAUUAGAAAGAGGGCUUAUAGGUCAGGUGCCAUGGCUCACUCCUGUAAUCACCCAGCACUUUGGGAUGCCGAGGUGGGUGGAUCACAAGGUGAGGAGUUCGAGACCAGCCUGGCCAACAUGGUGAAACCCCCAUCUCUACUAAAAAAAUACAAACAAUUAGCCGGGCAUGGUGGUGUAUGCCUGCAAUCCCAGCUACUCGGGAGGCUGAGGUAGGAGAAUUGCUUGAACCCGGGAGGCGGAGGUUGCAGUGAGCUGAGAUCGCACCACUGCACUCUAGCCUGGGUGACAGAGCAAGACUCUGUCUCAAUAAAAUUAAAAAAAAAAAAAAGAGGGUUUAUAAAUAUAAACGUUUGUUUUCACAUGUAGUUUAUUUAUUUAAAAAAAUAGAGACAGGGGUCUUGCUAUGUUGACCAGGCUAGAUAUGAACUCUUGGGCUCAAGCGAUCCUCCUGCCUCAGCCUCCCGAGUAGCUGGGACUACAGGCGCACGCCACUGUGCCCGGCUAGUUUACUUCUUUCAGAACAUUUGUUAUCAGCAAAUUUAAACAUUUCAACAAAUAUUUCAGUUUCCAUUUGGAAACAAAAUUCUUGUUUGAAAAGCUGACUGGAAACCUGUGAGAAUGGGAGUUCCACCCUCCUGUGGGGAUGGAGGUUGAAACAGCACCAGAGGCUUCAAGACCAGUCUCCUCUCAUUUCGGGGCAGUAAGAUACAUUUAGCUUACUUAAACAGACUGUGCUGGCAGAGCAAGUCAGUGGCAGAGCUGAAGUUCAGCAUUGUCCUGUGGAACUCCUGGAUUUUUCUCUUAAUUUGCUUCAUGGCAGGAGUGUUACAUUUAGUCUUGAAGGUCAUUUGUUUCAGCAUCUUGUCUGUCAGGUAAUGUAACCAGAGCACAUUACUAUAAGGGUGAUAUUCACCCCAGCGGUUGUUAUUCUCCUUCUUCAUGAGCCUGUAGAUGUCAAACUGGUAGUCACCGUCACCGGUAAACAGGUCCUCAUCCAUGGAAACGUCACAGAAAACCACAAUCCCAUCCCGUUCCAAGCGCGACAGGGUGUAGUCAAUGAUGCUCUCUCCGGACGGCCUCUUGAAGCCCUCUCUCUUGACAAGAGUCCUGGCCUGUGGCCCUCCUCUUGCCUGUGCUUGACAGACCUGGACCCUCUGGUCCAUUUCCCACCACCAGUUUCCUUUUACAGCAGGACUCUCUCAUAUUCUUCCCAUCUGCCCGAAACUCAGAAUCCUCAGGGGUUCCUGAGUUCAUAAGGCCAAAGAGAACUGACCUGAGGCUGGCGCGGGUUUGGUGGACCAUCCUGGUGUCCUUGGCUCCUCCUGUCGCUUCCUCCUGGGAGCAGGGGAGAGAUGCUCGGUCCAGGGAGACUUCUGGGAGGUGGAGGCCGCUCGGGACGGCUGAGGCUGCAACCAGACAGGCGGAGGUGCCGAUCGAGAUGACACUGUCCCUUGGCGUUGGGGACCCGGGGCAGGGCGAGGCCAGAGAGCUGAACAGGGAGGCACUGAUGCCCAGCUCGUCGCCGUCCCUGGGCUGGCCGCACACGCUGAGGUCCGGGCUGAGGCGGCCGGAGUCGCGGCUGGGGAAGGGCGGAAGUCGGAGCGGGCCGCAGGGUGUGCUGCACUUCUGCGGGGGCCGAGCUCGCAGCCCCAGGCGUCUUGGGGUCACGGUUAGGCUUGGGCGAGCUCGCAGCUUCCAGCGCUUUGGGGUCACGGUCAGGCUGGGCCGGUCCUUGGGCACUCGGCCGCCGGGACGCCUCCGCCGCCGCCUCACCGGGCUGCCGGGGAAGUCGGGGUCGUCGGGAUCGUCAGGAUCGUCGGACUGCGAGGGGUCGCCGAUGCUGGCGUCGCUGCUGCCGCUGCUGUUGAAGAAACGCCUCCGGUCCUGCGGCGGGAACCACUGCGCGGCUUCCCGGCCCGGCCGCCGCUGUCUCCUGCCGUCCGCAGCCCCAUAUGUGCGGAAAAGCCGGCUCCCAGGUCCCGGGAGCGAAGCCGCCAUGGCCGGCACCCGCCAAGAGGUUCAAACGCAAA